UACAGAGGUCUCAAGCGUUGUUCGGAUUCAUUGGGCGUAAAGGGUGCGUAGGCGGCGCGGUAAGUCGGGUGUGAAAUCUCGGAGCUUAACUCCGAAACUGCAUUCGAUACUGCCGUGCUUGAGGACUGGAGAGGAGACUGGAAUUCAUGGUGUAGCAGUGAAAUGCGUAGAGAUCAUGAGGAAGACCAGUGGCGAAGGCGGGUCUCUGGACAGUUCCUGACACUGAGACACGAAGGCUAGGGGAGCAAACGGG
RNAcentral lists this ribosomal RNA (253 nucleotides) under uncultured bacterium. RNAcentral describes it as "partial 16S ribosomal RNA". It matches the Rfam family "Bacterial small subunit ribosomal RNA", at positions 524 to 776 of the family's 1533-position model. The record is from RNAcentral.